CAGCAGCCGCGGUAAUACGAAGGGUGCAAGCGUUAAUCGGAAUUACUGGGCGUAAAGCGUGCGUAGGUGGUGGUUUAAGUCCGUUGUGAAAGCCCUGGGCUCAACCUGGGAAUUGCAGUGGAUACUGGGUCACUAGAGUGUGGUAGAGGAUAGUGGAAUUUCCGGUGUAGCAGUGAAAUGCGUAGAGAUCGGAAGGAACAUCGGUGGCGAAGGCGACUAUCUGGGCCAACACUGACACUGAGGCACGAAAGCGUGGGGAGCAAACAGGAUUAGAUACCCCGGUAGUCCCUGUCUCUUAUAA
This 301-nucleotide ribosomal RNA is filed under the name uncultured bacterium. RNAcentral's name for it is "partial 16S ribosomal RNA". It matches the Rfam family "Bacterial small subunit ribosomal RNA", at positions 509 to 809 of the family's 1533-position model. The record is from RNAcentral.